CCACCCCGAAGAAAGUGCAGAUCAUUAACUCUGGAGAAGCAUCGAUUGAUGAUUGAUAUGGUUGUUAGCGCUUAUAAAUAGGAGGCCAAAGAGCAAAGGGAUCCCUACUUCUCCUUCUGUGGCAAGAAGUCUUCUUCUUCAUCUACUGCCAUGUCAUUGCCUUUGAAUCUAUCAGUCUUGGAGCAAAUCAAGCAAUGGAUGAG
RNAcentral lists this long non-coding RNA (203 nucleotides) under Elaeis guineensis (African oil palm). Its description in RNAcentral is "long non-coding RNA (EGUI_LNC040473)". Lineage: Eukaryota; Viridiplantae; Streptophyta; Magnoliopsida; Arecales; Arecaceae. The record is from RNAcentral.